RNAcentral lists this long non-coding RNA (415 nucleotides) under Brachypodium distachyon (stiff brome). RNAcentral's name for it is "long non-coding RNA (BDIS_LNC004329)". Lineage: Eukaryota; Viridiplantae; Streptophyta; Magnoliopsida; Poales; Poaceae. The record is from RNAcentral.
GCGAUGAAGGCGGCUAGAAAUUGAAACUGGGGGAGGGGGAUUUUUGGGAGGGAUGGACGCAUUUGCCCCUGUCAGAUAUGUUUUUUUUUUACAUAUUUUACAUGUAAUAAGGUCUAUUUUUACAUGACCCGCUUAUAUGUUUUUCCCAGUUUUACAUUUUUUUUAAAACUUUUUCAUUUCUGUUUUUGUGACGGUGAUAUUGGAAAUCCCACCGGACCAAGGUUUGACUCAUUUUAUCUGAGGAUAUGUCAAGGUAAUGAGUAGUGACGAUCAUGCACAAAAAGACGGGACGGUGAAGCAUCCAUUUGUUUUUCAAGAAACAAAAUAGCUCUCUUGUUGCUUCCGUAGGAAAUAAAACCAAAACCAACCUACAUGAUCCGUUAUGUUUUUCGGAAAACAUUCUCACACGUAUUUU